UACAGAGGGUGCGAGCGUUAAUCGGAAUUACUGGGCGUAAAGAGCGCGCAGGCGGUCGUUCAAGUCGAGUGUGAAAUCCCCCGGCUCAACUGGGGUGGGUCACUCGAUACUGAUCGACUCGAAGGCAGGAGAGGGAAGUGGAAUUCCCGGUGUAGUGGUUAAAUGCGUAGAUAUCGGGAGGAACACCAGUGGCGAAGGCGACUUCCUGGCCUGUUCUUGACGCUGAGGCGCGAAAGCUAGGGGAGCAAACUGG
This 253-nucleotide ribosomal RNA is filed under the name uncultured bacterium. Its description in RNAcentral is "partial 16S ribosomal RNA". It matches the Rfam family "Bacterial small subunit ribosomal RNA", at positions 524 to 776 of the family's 1533-position model. The record is from RNAcentral.